GCUCCGGUGGCCUAGUGGUUAGAGCGUCCGCCUGGGAUGCGGGAGGUCGUGGAUUGGAUCCCCGGUUGAGUCA
Non-coding RNA from Potamilus streckersoni, 73 nucleotides. The record is from the annotation of a GenBank genome assembly. NCBI's taxonomy places the organism in Eukaryota, Metazoa, Mollusca, Bivalvia, Unionida, Unionidae.